AACUUCAAUCAAUAUAGUCAUCUAUCAAUACUUGCAAAUUGCAAGGGAACUUCAUCUCACAAAACUAAUCUUAAUUAUUUUUCCUUCAAAGCAAAUUUCUUGAGUGUACGUAUGCUAAAGAAUGUGCUUUCCCAAACAAGAUUGCCUUGGUCUAAAGGUUCUGGUCAGACAUCAUUAACAACAGAGCCCCUAUGUGAUAACCUUGCUAUUGACCAAAACAUUGGAGUGUCUGAAAUUUUACUUCAGUAAUUCUUAAAUAUCAGCUUUCCUCUAUUCUCAUUGCUACGUCAAUAUGCUUUUAGCUCUAGAGGAAAUUAAAUAUAUAAUUAACAUAAGAGUACUUUAGUAUUUUUUCCCCACAAAAUUAGACCAUUGCUGGAAUUAAAACAUCAUGCCCAAAAGAAGUGUUUAAAAAGUCUGAUUAGAAAAUGUGGAAAGAAAAUGUUAUAAUUACUGAGCAAUGGGGCGUCUCAGGGCUCGGGGAGCUCCGCACUGCAGUACUUGGCAAAAAUAAUAGAUGUCUUCAAAAUUUGCUGCAAACACACUGUUGACAUGACUGCCUAUUCCAAUAGCACAUGUGAAAAUGGAUUUUCCUGUGGAAUAUCAAACUCUAAUCUGGUCUGAUUAGCACUAAGCCUCAUUCUUUUGUCACUUGCUGUAUUUUUGAUUUCAAACUAUUGCAGUGCCAUUACUGCUGUAGCACUGAAUGUGUGGUGGGGUUACAUGAAGGGAACUCUAAAUAAAGGGUGUCAGCUGGUGUUCACCUUUACAGAACCCGCUUCCCAAUGGGAGGAAAUUUCUGUACUCAGGACAGUAAAGCUCUGAUAUACUGUCAAUUGUAGUUCUGAUUCUGCUGAAAUCCACCUAAUUUCCAUGUUGCGUCUGCAGGCACAACCUCUUCUUUCCCCAGCAUCUUGCCAAAUUUAUCGCUGUGAUUUUUAGGUCAAAUGUAUUCUCCUUGACCUCAGCAUCCGGUGUGUGAAAAUAAUUAGCAAAAUCGAUGUAAUGUUAAGAAAACAUUUAAAUCUCAAAUGAAAAAGUAGUUUCUGCUGAUGUCUUACAAACACUCUGGCUCGGUUUUCAGCAGUGUUCCAUCAUGAUGAACAAAAUGGUCAUGGUUGGAGACUUGUUCUUCCCACACUGCGCGUUUUGUGAAGGAGCAAUCUCCUCACUUAAGAGAAAAUAUCUUCCAAAGUAUCUUUGGAAGUGUGGGAAUGCACAUUUUCACUUAGAUGCAAUAAAGUUGCACUACAGACAGUUAGUAAGGCACUGUUUACCAUGUGGUUCAUGAAUAAUCUUAAUUUUUUUUUCUACAGAAUUUUGCAGAUAAUUCAUCCCUCUUGAAAGGAUCACACAGUCUGAACUGAAGGGAGGGAAUAUGAUAUUAACCUGAAGGCUUGUUAAACUGCACUGUGGUUAUAAAUUCUGUGGAAUUCCUUUGUAUUUACAGUAACUGCCAAAACAGAUCUAAUCCGUUAAGGCUUCAAGAUGUACAUUUCUUGGCUUGUGUGCUGGGACAUUCUCAUAUUGGAAAAUGAUGUGUAUUUUCCAUAUACACUGUGGGUUUCUUAGAAGAAUGGGUAAAAUCUACUUAUUUUGAGGAUAGCAUAAAGACUGAGAAACUAGAAAAGAGAAUGGAGCAAUCAACUUAUGUCCCGAACAUGGGGAUAUGGACUGAAAUAAAUGUGGGCACCGGGAAUUCACAACUAAGUGUAGCUGAGACUUUGCCUGAGCCCAGAAGUCCUUCUGCUUUCCCUGCAGCUAUGUAGCUAAUCUGACUAACAAAAUCAGUGUCAGCAUGAUGGUAUUCAUGUUAAUAUGUUUAUACCUACACAGCUUGCUUCAGGGCACUUUAAGUGUCUAUACUUAAAUAUAGUGAUAAUAAAUGCCACAGGGAUUUUCAAAAGCUCAAAAGGAAAUAAGGAAAAAGAAAGCUGCAUGUUAUUAACAUAGCUGCUAUUUGUGGAUUAACUGCAGAAGUGCCUAUGCACUAAAAGUCUGCAAGAAAAUAAUAAGGAUUUGGAAAUACUUUUUUUCCAGGGUGUUGAGGGGUGAGAGUCAUUUAAGCAUUGCUAUCCAGAGAGCAGGUUUUCCCUUUAACAAAAAUGGACACAGAAAUGCUGUCUUUCACUUAAAAAAGAAAAUAAAUCGUGAUUCC
Long non-coding RNA from Gallus gallus (chicken), 2158 nucleotides. The record is from Ensembl. Lineage: Eukaryota; Metazoa; Chordata; Aves; Galliformes; Phasianidae.